UCUAUUUUGGAACGGAGGGAGUAUAUAUCUACAGAUUUUCUAAUAUAAAGAAGUUACAGUUAGGUGUUGACCUUUUUCUUUGCCUAGACACAGCAGCUCCAACAAGAUCUGGGCGCUCAUAAUGAGAUAUAUAUGCAUGCUUUUUGUUUUUGCUGUGCCUUGUUCUCCAUUUAUCUUUGCUGCGCCAUUGUAGUUUGAAUUGUUCUUUACCUUCAUCCGACCGAAUUGAGCUAUCGGAGGUGCUGCGGUCUUUUGGCAAACAUGCUCUAUAUUAUAUGGUUUGGCACCUACAGGAUGCCAUCUCAGGUCAUGGAUCCACUCUGUCUGCUUCGUCCUUCACUGAGGACCUUCUCAUCCCCACAGAGAUCAGAGAGAAUAUUAUAUUUUGGAAGCAGGAAACCAUACCUCAUAAGAUGGGUGAGCUGUAGGAUUUGAUUCUAUUCAACUUGAAUUAGUUUUUGCUCAUCAUGUUCUUUGUAUUAGGAAUUCAGAUGCCUUCCAGCUCUAAUCUUUUUGUAUUGUUGGUGCAUGCUGGGAGUCACAUUGCUAUGCAUGCUAGCAAACAUUAGGAUUGGAAGUCUUACCCUGUAGGUUAUUAAUAUCUUUUCCACUACACUGAGGUUCAGCAAUUUAAUUCGUAUUAAGGUCGCACAAGCAGUUUUGUUUUCGGAUUUGUCUUGGCAAACAUAUUUGGUACAUCAAUUUAAUUCGUAUUAAGGUCACAGAAGCAGUUAGUUCCAUUACAGUUGGGUCACCGACGGUUGCCGUGCUACUAUGCUCCUCUCAUGUUGUAGUGACUAGCUGCUGCAAUUCACGGAUCAUGCUCUCUCGUGGGAAGGAGGUUGUGGCUUUCUCAAUUGAUCAGACAGAACCCCACAUAGUUCUUUUCUUGAUAUAUAUUGUUAUUUCUGAUACUGUGUGGACCAUCAGAAACCUGAUGUGUGUGUGUGUAUCAUAGAAUAUCUUGCUAUUAUGUAUAUUGCUUCCCUUUUAUUCAUGUACUACUUCUCUAAAUAUAAGCCACUUCUUUUCUAUUGUUAGCUCUAUCUUUUGAUGUUAAUGCACUAAAAGUCUAAAGCCUUUCCCUAUGCAAAAUGAUAAUAUUAGAGCUAUGCGUCUUAUAAUCCCUACUGUAUAUGACAAUGCGAUAUUUAGUUAUAUUAUGUUUGUAGCAUGACAUUUUUCCAUUCCUUUUUUUUCCCGCUGUAUCACAUGGUAAAUUAUGAUGUACAAUGACUGCUCUUGCAAAAAGUUUGGAAUUCAGAGAGGGAUUCUAUAACAAGCAAGGUUUUAGGAUCUGAAUCUAAAUGACCUCUUCUUCAGUUCAGUCCUAGCAAAAGCUGAUCAGAGAAACAAAGAAGCAGCAACGAAUGGGUCCCUUUCUUGCCCACAAGAGUUGUCUGUGUGCAAGUCAUGAACCUUUUGUCCAUCAAUACAAGUGCAGGAUUUGAACAAGUUUAUUCUGACCUUCUGUUGGGAGUUUAUAUUAUACCUUUCAUGCAAAGUAGUUACAUUUUCGCAUGGAAGACGAUGCCCAUAGAGUGGAAGGUGGAGAGUUUCAGACUUUGGUGGAUGUUAAUAUGCUCAAAGUUUUUCAAUUAAACAUGUUGAAAUCUUCCAUGUAGCUGUGAUUGUUCUCUCCGGACAUGGAGGAUCAGUUCUUGGACAAAUUUAUUUGUUUGUUGUAUGACUUGCCACCAUUUUUUCUAAAUUUCUAUUCACAUGUUAUCAAACCAUAAAGAUUUCAAUAUCUUAAAACAUUAGUAGAAUUAAGCUGCCUGUAAUUCUGGACUCUAGCAUUUUGUGCUUGGUGGCCUUCUUCGCCGACUUCGUGGGCAUGUCAGCCCUCAUCUCCACUUCGUCAUCGACGACAUCUACGACCACGACACCUGCCACCUUGGGUAUGAUUGUGAUCUGUGCAAUGGGUGCAUAGUGGAAGGGGCUGCCGUUCCAGUUCAGCAGGGGCUGCACCUUCUACUGCAGUGAGCCCGACCCUCAUCGACAGCAACGAAUUCAGAUUGUGUUUGGAGAUGGUGGCCCGUGAGGAGGAUUUCAGGGGAGAUCAUACUGUGACUAUGACAAGAGGCUGAGAUUUGACCUGCACUGUAUGCGAAAAGCAGGUUCAGGAGCUCCAAGCCAACAACCGCCAGAUCUUUGAAAAAGAUAUUUUUAUAAUUAAAGUGAAGAUACUGUGAUGGUGUGUCAUUUUCUGGAAACGUCGGAGAUGAAUUUCAGGAAGGCACCACUUUCUUCUUCAGAGGCCAGCGUAUUUGGGAAGCAGUUAUUAGGGAACUUUUAUCAAAAGGUCUAUCACAUGCUAAAGAAGUAGCCUUCCUACAAAAAUAGGGUAGUUGAUUCUUUAGAAGUGUUUGGAGCAACCAAAAUUCAAGUGAGAACACAAUACUUCGUUGGUGUGUCCAUACAUAUGUCUAUAUAUACGCCGGAACCCUCAAGUGAGUACAAAUCAAAUGAACGAUGCCCCAAGAACUCAGAUGUUGCAACCUUGGGCGAUCGGUCCAUUGGAUUCUUGAAACCAAUGCCUUUUCUGAAGUAAGUCUGGCAUGCAAGGUGCCCUCAAGGUUUAUUUCCAAGAGAUGGCGCUGGGGUCUCGGGGACGUGCCGGACGGCGUCGCGUUCCUGCACCUUGGGGAUGGCUUUGGGUCGAAUUCCCCUCCAUGCAAUCUUGUGCUCCUUUGGGUGUUUCUAAUCUUUCUGCCUUCUAGCGUAAAUAGAGAGAUGUUCUCCCAUCGCUAUUGGCUGUCAAAUUUGCGAUGCAAUCCGUCCCUAUUUCGGCACAAUCAGCAGAACAAAGCAGCUACCAUGAUUUGCCCAUUGAUCUCUUGGAGUGAUUCAAACCUGCAAGCACCAGGAUUGAGUGACUCCUGCAUAUGAUGACUGAAGAAUUUUUCAUCAAUUUUCCAACCUGAAUUAGCUACAGAAGGGAAAAGAGGAGUCCAGGCUCUGAUGAACACACCGUCUUUCCCAGAAACCACUUCAACUAGCCCAGGACUGUGUCUAUUAGUCCUCCAGUAUUUGUUAAGAUGAGAUAACACAUUGUAUGACAGGUAACAAGCAACUGAAGCAAGAAGAUUUUUUAAAUUUCUUGGAAAGUAUAACCACCUUAACCCAGGAUGCAUGAUGAAGGAUCCAAUAUGUCAGGACCAACGAGGGAACUGCAGUAUGUCAGAACCAAUGAGAGAAUUGUAGAGCUUCAUAUUAAGUUUAUUUUAGCUGCUUGCCGGCUUCAAGUGUCUAGAUUACAGGAAACAUGUUUCUUUAAGUAACAAACCUGGAUACCAAUUUAUUCAAACUAUUAUAUUUCUUAUAGAAGUAAUGCAAUAUAUUCUCUCUCUUGUGCCUAUUUGAAA
Aegilops tauschii subsp. strangulata is the source of this 3368-nucleotide non-coding RNA. NCBI's taxonomy places the organism in Eukaryota, Viridiplantae, Streptophyta, Magnoliopsida, Poales, Poaceae. The record is from RefSeq and is a predicted model, not a curated record.